AUGGGGCGGUGGAGGCUGGGGCGGUGGCGGAGACGGUGGUGGAGGCUGGGGCGGUGGAGGCGGAGGAGGAGACGGUGGUGGUGGUGGAGGCUGGGGCGGUUGGGGUGGAGGUGGAGACGGCGGCGUAGGCAUGGGAGGUGGCGGAGGCGGUGGAGGUGGUGGCGGUUGUUGAGGAGCACAUCAUUCAUUCAAGUUCUUGAAAAAAGUCGGAACAGGGGUUCAAGCAGCACCGCCGGCGAAAAGCAUCGAUCGAUCGCCAACAUGGUUGCAAGAAUGUGUUGUGUUUUACGCCUUGAACUCCAUGACUCCGUGUUGACUGUAAAUAUUUGUAUAUUUGUAUUCGUAUCUUACGCAUAA
Molecule: ribosomal RNA, 357 nt
Filed under: Triticum aestivum (bread wheat)
Lineage: Eukaryota; Viridiplantae; Streptophyta; Magnoliopsida; Poales; Poaceae
Description: partial small subunit ribosomal RNA
Source: RNAcentral